GACGAACGCUGGCGGCGUGCUUAACACAUGCAAGUCGAACGGAAAGGCCCUGCUUUUGUGGGGUGCUCGAGUGGCGAACGGGUGAGUAACACGUGAGUAACCUGCCCUUGACUUUGGGAUAACUUCAGGAAAUUGGGGCUAAUACCGGAUAGGAGCUCCUGCUGCAUGGUGGGGGUUGGAAAGUUUCGGCGGUUGGGGAUGGACUCGCGGCUUAUCAGCUUGUUGGUGGGGUAGUGGCUUACCAAGGCUUUGACGGGUAGCCGGCCUGAGAGGGUGACCGGCCACAUUGGGACUGAGAUACGGCCCAGACUCCUACGGGAGGCAGAAGUGGGGAAUAUUGCACAAUGGGCGGAAGCCUGAUGCAGCAACGCCGCGUGCGGGAUGACGGCCUUCGGGUUGUAAACCGCUUUCGCCGGUGACGAAGCGUGAGUGACGGUAAUGGGUAAAGAAGCACCGGCUAACUACGUG
RNAcentral lists this ribosomal RNA (468 nucleotides) under uncultured bacterium. Its description in RNAcentral is "partial 16S ribosomal RNA". It matches the Rfam family "Bacterial small subunit ribosomal RNA", at positions 28 to 507 of the family's 1533-position model. The record is from RNAcentral.